GUCCACGCCCUAACGAUGUCAACUGGUUGUUGGGUCUCUUCUGACUCAGUAACGAAGCUAACGCGUGAAGUUGACCGCCUGGGAGUACGGCCGCAAGGUUGAACUCAAAGGAAUUGACGGGACCCGCACAAGCGGUGGAUGAUGUGGUUUAAUUAGAUGCAACGCGAAACCUUACCCACCUUUGACAUGUACGGAAGUUGCCAGAGAUGGCUUCGUGCUCGAAAGAGAGCCGUAACACAGGUGCUGCAUGGCUGUCGU
RNAcentral lists this ribosomal RNA (258 nucleotides) under uncultured bacterium. Its description in RNAcentral is "partial 16S ribosomal RNA". It matches the Rfam family "Bacterial small subunit ribosomal RNA", at positions 793 to 1055 of the family's 1533-position model. The record is from RNAcentral.